GAUGAGUGCCAUCGUUACGAUAUUAUUAUAUUUAUUCCUAUAAGCCACCUAAUAAGUAUGCAACCAGUUAUGCGUUCGUGCUUAGAACGGGUUACCUAGAUUUGUGACCAAAUAUAAUAGAAGGUUGGUACUACGCUUGGGGAAUUCUGGUCUUAGCUUGUGGCUGUACGGCUUCCGACGGAGGGGCAUGUCAUAUCGCCCAUCGGAGAGGAUUGUCACUUCAAUUUUCAAUCUGGUUGGAUGAACAAGUAAAUUUUUCCGUGGUCACUGUUUAAAGAAUACAAUAUUUAGUUAAAAUAUUCAUUUAUUAUAAGAUUGGUUUAUUUUGGAAGGAGCUAUUUUUUGUUUUGGGAUUUGUGCGGUGAGAGGAAGAGUUUUAUUUCCAAGUUUCCUUUUGGAAAACAGUGGGUAAGUCGGCUAUUAAGUAUUCUUGUAAAAAAAAAACAUGGUUCUCAUUCUCAAUACAAUACUUAUAGUAAUAUUAUAAUUGUUAUUCUAUGAAUAUAAAACAUCAGGUCUUAACGAGUCAAUCUCACUAUCAAAUUCAUGUUUCUACAAGAAAAAUUCUUUCAAAUUAAAUUUCCAGUUCAAAAUAGUUUCUGAAGUAAUGACACUUUUCAUUUCCUUUUAGUAUCUACGUCUAUAAAGUAAUCCCUUAUUGCAAUAUAUACAUAUCUUCUUGGUUCAUAUGUCCUUCCAUUUCUUUACAUUUCCAUUUUUGUUCAAGGUUAAUGACACUUACUUAUAAAUGUCAAUAGCUCCUCUUUUUUCGGUAAUUUUUUCUAGAAAUUUUUAUAAGGUUUUUAUACCUUUCUUAUAUGCCCUGUUUUUUGUGUACUUAAGGAACACCAGCUAAUAGGAGAUUCUUAUGCUUUUAGCCACGGAAGAAAAUAAGAAGAUGGUAAAUUAAGUCAAUCAUACUUUAAUUUGUUUUUUUGGAAUACAUAAUCAUUUUGGGGAUAUUUUGGAUGGAAUGUGGAUGUUUUGUUUGGUUUUUGUGGAAUAAAAGUUGAGUUUUCCGAUACUGGGCAGCUACCUGCUUGCCGUACCUUCCUGUUGGUGUGGAGUACCUCCCUAGGGUUGGGAACCAGAGGAUACCUUAUUUGGCUCUCCCCUCAUCAUCUUCACCGAAGGUUGGAAGAAGCAAUCCGCCUACUUUUUGUAGGGACAGGUUUUUAUAUAACUAAAUUUGCAUGUCAAUUUGUUUUAAUAAUAACUUCCAAUUUUACUAUUUUUUUUCUCUUCGUAUCAAUAACUUUCAAAUCACUCUAAUAAUAAUAUACCCUCAUUGUUUUUUCUUAACCAUAAUUAACAUAAUAUUCAAUAUUUUUCAACAAUUUUUAUUAUAUUUCACCCUUAUUUAAUUUAUUUAAAAUAGCCUGGGAUUUAUAAACCAUAUGUAAGAUAAUGUGCACAGUAUCUAGGUCAUAUCCUAUUUAAUAAUAUUUAUUCCAGUUGUCGGAUGUUGUCACCUCCGAUUAGAUACGGUAUUGUCAACCAAUAUUGUAACCCUCAUUAAUAAUAAGUUGUUAAGGUAAAUACCUAUUCAUACUAAAUUCAUUACAUAUUUUUUUUCUACUGUAAAACCAGCAUUAUCGACAGCAGUGUACUAGCCUAGUACGUCGGAUAAUUAGCUAGUGUAAAAAUUGUAUAUAGGGUAUAUAGGUUUUUUUUAUUAAAUGUGGUUGUACAUA
This 1694-nucleotide long non-coding RNA is filed under the name Diabrotica virgifera virgifera (western corn rootworm). Its description in RNAcentral is "uncharacterized LOC126884425". The record is from RNAcentral. Lineage: Eukaryota; Metazoa; Arthropoda; Insecta; Coleoptera; Chrysomelidae.